GGUUUUAUACCCUCUACUUCUAUGAGCUUGAAGAUUUAAUUUGAGAAUUUCUGUUAAAUUCUUGGUUGUCUGUAUCUUUAAGAAUUUAAGUCUGUGUAGCACCUGUUAACUAUGAAAUUCUUUGUUAGACAUGAGAGUAAAUUAGUGGAAAGAAAACUGGUAUCUAAGACUAUAUUUGACUACUCCGUACUUGUGGUUUUGAUGAUUAAACUAACUUAAAGGAUGCUAAUCUCAAUGGAAUUUAUUGAAGUUAAUAUGUUGCAGACUUGGAAAUGCGACUUCCUAGUGCAGAUUCCUUAGAGCCUACUUACCUUAAGUGUCAUUGUCUUGAUUGGAAAAUAUUAGGCUUAGUUUUUAGUUCAAUGAGAGAAUAAAGAUAGAAUGUUUUGAAUUUGAAGUUACAAUUUUUGUUGGACUCUUACCAUAAUGUUGACUUGUUCUGUUUCAUGUUUCUCAGGCCUCGAGGGUCUUGAAAAUGGAAAGAAAUAGUUUAGAGCAUCUUCUGCAACACUAUUGUGGAGUUACUGCCAACAAAGAGUACCAGAAUGCAGAUUGGAGAUUGCGUCCUCUUCCUAGUGAAAUGCUUAGGUCUACAAGCGAAGUUCUGAUGUAUGCAUGCAACUGUAUGAGAAGAGCUGCUGA
Hibiscus syriacus is the source of this 642-nucleotide long non-coding RNA. RefSeq lists it as uncharacterized. Lineage: Eukaryota; Viridiplantae; Streptophyta; Magnoliopsida; Malvales; Malvaceae. The transcript has 3 exons. The record is from RefSeq and is a predicted model, not a curated record.